GUGGGGGAUUUUGCGCAAUGGGGGAAACCCUGACGCAGCGACGCCGCGUGGGCGAUGAAGGCCUUCGGGUCGUAAAGCCCUGUCGAGCGGGACGAAACGUGCGGGCUCUAACAUAGCCUGCGCCUGACGGUACCGCUGGAGGAAGCCCCGGCUAACUCCGUGCCAGCAGCCGCGGUAAUACGGAGGGGGCUAGCGUUAUUCGGAAUCAUUGGGCGUAAAGCGCGUGUAGGCGGCUUCGCUUGUCCCAUGUGAAAGCCCUCGGCUCAACCGAGGAACUGCAUGGGAAACGGCGGAGCUUGAGUCCGGGAGAGGAGAGUGGAAUUCCCAGUGUAGCGGUGAAAUGCGUAGAUAUUGGGAGGAACACCAGUGGCGAAGGCGGCUCUCUGGACCGGUACUGACGCUGAGACGCGAAAGCCAGGGUAGCAAACGGGAUUAGAAACCCGGGUAGUCC
This 451-nucleotide ribosomal RNA is filed under the name uncultured bacterium. RNAcentral describes it as "bacterial SSU rRNA". It matches the Rfam family "Bacterial small subunit ribosomal RNA", at positions 354 to 796 of the family's 1533-position model. The record is from RNAcentral.